RNAcentral lists this ribosomal RNA (254 nucleotides) under uncultured bacterium. RNAcentral's name for it is "partial 16S ribosomal RNA". It matches the Rfam family "Bacterial small subunit ribosomal RNA", at positions 524 to 776 of the family's 1533-position model. The record is from RNAcentral.
UACGUAGGGAGCGAGCGUUGUCCGGAUUCAUUGGGCGUAAAGAGCUCGUAGGCGGCUUGGUAAGUCGGAUGUGAAACCUCCAGGCUCAACCUGGAGUCGCCAUCCGAUACUGCCAUGGCUAGAGUCCGGUAGGGGCCCACGGAAUUCCUGGUGUAGCGGUGAAAUGCGCAGAUAUCAGGAGGAACACCGAUGGCGAAGGCGACUUACUGGACACAUACUGACGCUGAGGUGCGAAAGCGUGGGGAGCAAACAGG